UUUCCGGUUGAUCCUGCCGGAGGCUACCGCUAUUGGAGUUCGAUUAAGCCAUGCGAGUCGAGAGUCUUAGGGACUCGGCGUACCGCUCAGUAACACGUGGGUAACCUGCCCUAUGCUGGGGAAUAACCUCGGGAAACUGAGAAUAAUGCCCCAUAGUCCACCAUGCCUGGAACGGUUGGUGGAUCAAAGCUCCGGCGGCAUAGGAUGGGCCUGCGGCGUAUCAGGUCGUAGGGGGUGUAACGUACCCUCUAGCCAUCAACGCGUACGGGUGUUGGGAGACAUAGCCCGGAGAUGGAUUCUGAGACACGAAUCCAGACCCUACGGGGUGCAGCAGGCGCGAAAACUUGGCAAUGCGAGAAAUCGUGACCAGGGAACUCCAAGUGCAUCGGGUAAGACCGGUGCUUUUCUUGACUCUAAAUAGGUCUUGGAAUAAGGGGUGGGUAAGGACGGUGCCAGCCGCCGCGGUAAUACCGGCGCCUCAAGUGGUAGUCGCUUUUAUUGGGCCUAAAACGUCCGUAGCCGGUCUGAUACAUUCGUGGGUAAAUCAACCAGCUCAACUGGUUGAAUUCUGCGAGCACGGCCAGACUUGGGACCGGGAGAGGUGUGGGGUACGCUCAGGGUAGGGGUAAAAUCCUGUCAUCCUGAGCGGACCACCUGUUGCGAAGGCGCCACACUAGAACGGAUCCGACGGUCAGGGACGAAGCCUAGGGGCACGAACCGGAUUAGAUACCCGGGUAGUCCUAGGUGUAAACGCUGUGGACUUGGUGUUGGGGACUCUCCGAGAAUCCUCAGUGCCGAAGCGAAGGUGAUAAGUCCACUGCCUGGGGAGUACGGUCGCAAGGCUGAAACUUAAAGGAAUUGGCGGGGGAGCACCGCAACCUGAGGAUUGUGCGGUUUAAUUGGAUUCAACGCCGGA
Molecule: ribosomal RNA, 916 nt
Filed under: uncultured archaeon
Lineage: Archaea
Description: bacterial SSU rRNA
Rfam family: Archaeal small subunit ribosomal RNA
Source: RNAcentral